AAAGAAAUAAGCUCACUCUGUUGGUUGUCAUCUGAUGGGUCAAUUUUGGCUGUUGGUUAUAUUGAUGGAGAUAUCUUGCUGUGGAAUAUUUCAGUUCCUGGCAAGAAAAGUCCAGAGGCUGAAGCUUCGUCUAAUUAUGUUAAGCUGCAGCUCUCAGCAGGAGCCAAAAGACUCCCUGUUAUUAUACUGCGUUGGUCCGCCAAAAAUACACAGAAUGGUUGUGGGGGGAAACUAUUUGUCUACGGUGGUGAUUCAAUUGGAUCAGAAGAAGCCUUGACGGUUCUGAAUCUUGAUUGGUCCUCCGGAAUAAAAGCACUGAAAUGUGUUGGUCGAGUAGACCUUGGACUUGAUGGAUCUUUUGCAGAUGCCAUUGUUGUUUCAAAUGCUAAUGAAACGGGAAUUAGUGAUGCUUCUCCCUUUUUUGUGUUGUCAAAUCCAGG
RNAcentral lists this unclassified non-coding RNA (440 nucleotides) under Hevea brasiliensis (rubber tree). Lineage: Eukaryota; Viridiplantae; Streptophyta; Magnoliopsida; Malpighiales; Euphorbiaceae. The record is from RNAcentral.